UGGGGAAUAUUGCACAAUGGGCGCAAGCCUGAUGCAGCGACGCCGCGUGGGGGAUGACGGCCUUCGGGUUGUAAACUCCUUUCGCCAGGGACGAAGCGUUUUGUGACGGUACCUGGAGAAGAAGCGCCGGCUAACUACGUGCCAGCAGCCGCGGUAAUACGUAGGGUGCAAGCGUUGUCCGGAAUUACUGGGCGUAAAGAGCUCGUAGGUGGUUUGUCACGUCGUCUGUGAAAUUCCACAGCUUAACUGUGGGCGUGCAGGCGAUACGGGCUGACUUGAGUACUGUAGGGGUAACUGGAAUUCCUGGUGUAGCGGUGAAAUGCGCAGAUAUCAGGAGGAACACCGAUGGCGAAGGCAGGUUACUGGGCAGUUACUGACGCUGAGGAGCGAAAGCAUGGGUAGCAAACAGGAUUAGAUACCCUGGUAGUCCAUGCCGUAAACGGUGGGCGCUAGGUGUAGGGGCCUUUUGGGGUUUCUGUGCCGUAGCUAACGCAUUAAGCGCCCCGCCUGGGGAGUACGGCCGCAAGGCUA
This 531-nucleotide ribosomal RNA is filed under the name uncultured bacterium. RNAcentral's name for it is "bacterial SSU rRNA". It matches the Rfam family "Bacterial small subunit ribosomal RNA", at positions 355 to 896 of the family's 1533-position model. The record is from RNAcentral.